UGUGUUUGUGCUCGUGGUACGGUCGUCGUCGGCGCGGGCUCGUUGAGGUCACGAGCGUCGGCGGCCUGCGACGGCAGACGCGCUUCCCGGCGGCGGGCGCGGAGGAUGGCGUCGUGCGGCCGGUUCGCGGGUACCGUAGUGGGCUCGAGUGGAGGGUCGGCAACAAGAGGAAGUCUAAGCAGCCCUAGGCCAACCUAGGCCUACGGUCGCGGGGCAAGGCUGGAGGGGCGGAGCGAACCCAGCAGCCGGUGGAGCUGCUGCAGUAUGGCGAACGCCCUAGGUUGCGGUGGCGACCGGCCGGUGAAGGAGCGGACCUCCUCUGCGGGGGUGUAGCCGUGGAAGGUUGUGCUCGUCGUCGUCGCUUGCGGAGCGAUUCCGCAGAGGUCACCACAGAAAAAUAAAAUGUAACAAAAUUUCUUCAAACGGUCUAGGCACGGUCUUUUUGUUACCGCUACUUGAGGCUAACUGUAGGGCGCUUCCCAGCCGCCGCGAACUACACCACCGACGUCUUAUCGAGGCCCGUUUUCAUCAUCCGGUCUAAACCUUUUUUUUAGACAUUAAGGUUCAAAAAACAACACAUAAAGAAGGAAAACCAUUUUUAUUUUAAA
This 608-nucleotide ribosomal RNA is filed under the name Triticum aestivum (bread wheat). Its description in RNAcentral is "partial small subunit ribosomal RNA". Lineage: Eukaryota; Viridiplantae; Streptophyta; Magnoliopsida; Poales; Poaceae. The record is from RNAcentral.